This 2817-nucleotide long non-coding RNA is filed under the name Homo sapiens (human). RNAcentral's name for it is "PCBP1 antisense RNA 1". Lineage: Eukaryota; Metazoa; Chordata; Mammalia; Primates; Hominidae. The record is from RNAcentral.
GUCCCCGGCGUCCGGGCGCCCUGCAUGGAUCCCCCACCCCAGCUCCUGCUCCCCGGCGGCGGCCGGUGGGCAGAAAGACCGAAACCCACUCACGGCCGCCUGCCGAAUCGCGGCUCUGCUGUUUGUGGGGCGUGCUAGAAACGUGGUCCUAAAAAGAAUGGCGUCCAUUUACAUAAUGCUUUGUUUGCGUUUCGCAAGUUUCUUUCGGUUAAAGCCACAGAAACCCCACCUCCUGCCCUUGUGUCGUUUCCACCGCGGCACCCUUUUCCGACAUUAGAAACAAUAGUGUACGCCUGUGGAGGCCUCGUUUGUUCAGGGGCUGCCGGCCAGGGCUUCAGGACGUUUCUGCGGCUUUCCCCGCGCGGCCUGGGCUCCCGCGGCUGCUUUUCGGGCCCAUGGGCGCAGCCACUGCGCCAGGCUCAAGGGGGGCGGCCCCGUCAGGGCCCGCCAUCUUGGAAGGCCUUUUUUGCCGGUUCUUCCCGCUGAGGAAGUGUCGCUCAAGACGCUGGCCUAUGAGUUGUGAUUUCUGCCUUUUCCCCUUCCUCCUUGGGCUAAGCCAGACCAGAAAGGGCCCCGUGCGCAACGUGCUUCACAAUCUCUCAGGGAAAGCGGCUAACGUGGCGCUACUCCGCCUCCCCUGUUCCUUACCCUUGGGGCGGCCGCCAUGUUUCCUGAACACAAAAUGGCGACACGUGGUUAGCAUUCGUCGCCAACGAGAAAUUGGGGUCGGCCCGAAAGCUCUAGAAUGCACCCCUCUUCCUCCCCGGGGCCUUCCACCUCCGCGAGUUUUAUGACUUAAAAAAGCCCACAGGCUGGUCUGAAGGUCGGAGGCCUAAUUUUAACGCGUUUUCCUCCCUUUAAUUUGAAACGGGAACGCGAAUGACUGUAAAAUGUGGGCACAAUAUUUAAUCUCUCGCCUUUUUAAAGCUUAAUAGUGGAUAAUAGGGGGGCAGUAUCAAGGGAUAAUUUGGGUCCCCACAGUACCAAAGCAUUUAGAAACCUCUGUUUAAUUUAAGGAAUGAGAUAAGUUACUGCUUUUCUAGACUUCCUAGCAUGGGCUGUUGUGCUGGAGAGAACGAGAGCUACGAAGAGACUACAGUGCCUCUGACUUUUUCAUAGGACAGUUGGCCGAGGAAGACAAACAUAAAGAUGAAGUGCUUAAUUCAAGGUCACACAAUGUCGGGGAUGGACCUCCAGAUUUCCUUACUGACCUGCAUUAUCUUGUGGAUACCUGAGUGAAUUCCACACCACCCAUUUUAUAGAUGAAACCACUGAGACAUGGAGCAAUUGACUGAGUAGUCACUGCCCCACCCCUGCCUGGAGCCUCACACAUGACUCGCCUCCUCUCAGUGACCACAGGAAAACAAGCUCAGGGCUCCCACUGAUUGUACAUUAUGAGACGGAGUCUUGCUAUGUUGCCCAGGCUGGUCUUGAACUCCUCACCUCAAGCGAUCCUCCCGUCUUGGCCUCCCAAGUGUCAGGAUUACGGGCAUGUGCUAUCACACCCAACCUGAUACAUUGCCUUUAUAAAUUUUUUUUUCUUUAUUCUAAAAACCAGAAAAAACAAAACUGGAUACAUGUGCAGAACAUGCAGACCAAGUGUGUUGGGGACUUGAGAUGCGUACAUGAGUGUGAUGUUUCCUGCUGAAAGCACAGGUGAGACGUGGUCUUGUAACACAGUGGUUAAGAAUGUGACUUUGGAGCCAGCCUGCUAGGGGCUGAAUUCUGACUCAGCCAUUUACUAACUGUGUGACCUUAGUCUCACUGUUGCUCAGGCUGGAGUGCAAUGGCAUGAUCUCGGCUCAUCACAACCUCUGCUUCCUGGGUUCAAGCGAUUCUCCUGCCUCAGCCUCCCGAGUACCUGGGACUACAGGCACUCGCCACCAUGCCCGGCUGAUUUUUGUAUUUUUAAUAGAGAUGGUUUCACUAUGUUGGCCAGGCUGGUCUCGAACUCCUGACCUUGUGAUCUGCCCACCUCAGCCUCGAAAAGUGCUGGGAUUACAGGCGUGAGCCACUGCGCCCAGCCUUGUAUUUUUUUUCAGUUUGGGUAGCUGUCCCUAAUUCAUUUGUUAAAGGAGAAGCAAGAGCAAGAACCUUUAAUCUGUUCUCCUCUUCCCUAAUUUGAAAGUAGCUUGUUAUUUUGAAUAUCACUUUCUCUGAAAUAGCACAUCUCCAUCUCAGAGAAUGGAUUUAAUGUUUGGAUACAGCCAAAAGUCAUUUCAUUACCAAACCAUGGGGUGAAUAUACCAUGUAAAGCAGUUUGGGAUCAGAACUCACAGUCUGAAUUGUAAGUGAUGAGACUGCUGUCUCUCUGCUACAGCUUCUUGGCUGGCUCUGAAGGCUCUUUGAAGGCAGAUCCUAACAAGGGGACUGCUUUGAAGGGCCAUUGUUCAUUUGGAAUGAUAAAGUCUAUGUUGUUCAAAAAACAAAUGCUUGUAGCAGGUAUUUUUUCACUCCAGACUGAGAAUAUUGGUGGGAUAUUGAUAAGGGGUACUGAAUGGUAAUAAACAUGUGCUCUAGCUCUGUGCUAGUCAGCUUAUUUCAGAACUCUAGUUUGAUUCAGUUUCUUGCCUCUGACUCAAAAUGGAGGGAGAGUGAUUUUUACAUAAGAGAACACACCCACAUAUCCUUUUGGCAGCAGCUACCUGCCAGAGAUGUUGAAGAAGAGUAGCCAACCUUUACACAGCAGAUAUUGUGUGCCAGUCAUAGUCCUAAGUAUAAUACCUUACAUGUAUAAACUUCUUAUAAGGUUGGUGCUCUGUACCGAAUUGAAUAGUAUCCCCCAAAAUUCAUGUUGUCCCAGAACCUAUGAAAGUG